GACGAACGCUGGCGGCGUGCUUAACACAUGCAAGUCGAGCGGUAAGGCCCUUUCGGGGGUACACGAGCGGCGAACGGGUGAGUAACACGUGGGUGACCUGCCCUCAGCUCUGGGAUAAGCCUGGGAAACCGGGUCUAAUACCGGAUAUGACUCCAUGACGCAUGUUGUGGGGUGGAAAGCCUUGUGCGGCUGAGGAUGGGCCCGCGGCCUAUCAGCUUGUUGGUGGGGUGAUGGCCUACCAAGGCGACGACGGGUAGCCGGCCUGAGAGGGCGACCGGCCACACUGGGACUGAGACACGGCCCAGACUCCUACGGGAGGCAGCAGUGGGGAAUCUUGCGCAAUGGGCGAAAGCCUGACGCAGCGACGCCGCGUGUGGGAUGACGGUCUUCGGAUUGUAAACCACUGUCGGGAGGGACGAAUACGCCGCAAGGCGGGUGACGGUACCUCCAAAGGAAGCACCGGCUAACUCCGUGCCAGCA
This 480-nucleotide ribosomal RNA is filed under the name uncultured bacterium. RNAcentral's name for it is "bacterial SSU rRNA". It matches the Rfam family "Bacterial small subunit ribosomal RNA", at positions 28 to 513 of the family's 1533-position model. The record is from RNAcentral.